CGGGGGGCAGCAGUGGGGAAUAUUGGACAAUGGGGGCAACCCUGAUCCAGCAAUGCCGCGUGUGUGAAGAAGGUCUUCGGAUUGUAAAGCACUUUCGACGGGGACGAUGAUGACGGUACCCGUAGAAGAAGCCCCGGCUAACUUCGUGCCAGCAGCCGCGGUAAUACGAAGGGGGCUAGCGUUGCUCGGAAUGACUGGGCGUAAAGGGCGCGUAGGCGGCGGCGUAAGUCAGAUGUGAAAUUCCUGGGCUUAACCUGGGGGCUGCAUUUGAGACUGCGAUGCUAGAGGAUGGAAGAGGCUCGUGGAAUUCCCAGUGUAGAGGUGAAAUUCGUAGAUAUUGGGAAGAACACCGGUGGCGAAGGCGGCGAGCUGGUCCAUUACUGACGCUGAGGCGCGAUAGCGUGGGGAGCAAACAGGAUUAGAUACCCCAGU
Molecule: ribosomal RNA, 432 nt
Filed under: uncultured Acetobacteraceae bacterium
Lineage: Bacteria; Pseudomonadati; Pseudomonadota; Alphaproteobacteria; Acetobacterales; Acetobacteraceae
Description: bacterial SSU rRNA
Rfam family: Bacterial small subunit ribosomal RNA
Source: RNAcentral